RNAcentral lists this ribosomal RNA (742 nucleotides) under uncultured bacterium. RNAcentral describes it as "bacterial SSU rRNA". It matches the Rfam family "Bacterial small subunit ribosomal RNA", at positions 8 to 796 of the family's 1533-position model. The record is from RNAcentral.
AGAGUUUGAUCCUGGCUCAGAACGAACGCUGGCGGCAGGCUUAACACAUGCAAGUCGAACGCAUCCUUCGGGGUGAGUGGCAGACGGGUGAGUAACGCGUGGGAACGUGCCCUUCAGUUCGGAAUAACCCAGGGAAACUUGGGCUAAUACCGGAUACGUGCGAGAGCAGAAAGAUUUAUCGCUGAAGGAUCGGCCCGCGUCUGAUUAGCUGGUUGGUAGGGUAAUGGCCUACCAAGGCGACGAUCAGUAGCUAGUCUGAGAGGAUGAUCAGCCACAUUGGGACUGAGACACGGCCCAAACUCCUACGGGAGGCAGCAGUGGGGAAUAUUGGACAAUGGGCGCAAGCCUGAUCCAGCCAUGCCGCGUGAGUGAUGAAGGCCUUAGGGUUGUAAAGCUCUUUCGUCCGGGACGAUAAUGACGGUACCGGAAGAAGAAGCCCCGGCUAACUUCGUGCCAGCAGCCGCGGUAAUACGAAGGGGGCUAGCGUUGUUCGGAAUCACUGGGCGUAAAGGGCGCGUAGGCGGCUUUGUAAGUCGGGGGUGAAAGCCUGUGGCUCAACCACAGAAUUGCCUUCGAUACUGCAUGGCUUGAGACCGGAAGAGGUAAGUGGAACUGCGAGUGUAGAGGUGAAAUUCGUAGAUAUUCGCAAGAACACCAGUGGCGAAGGCGGCUUACUGGUCCGGUUCUGACGCUGANNNGCGAAAGCGUGGGGAGCAAACAGGAUUAGAUACCCUAGUAGUCC